AGUCCUCUAAACAUUUAUUUAGCCGUUAAAAACUUUACAACAUACAACAAUACGACAAGUACGACACCUUUGGAACCACCCAAUUGUGCUGAUACGUUUUGGAAGUCAGCCAAUUUU
This is a long non-coding RNA of Rhagoletis zephyria (snowberry fruit fly), 117 nucleotides long. RefSeq lists it as uncharacterized. NCBI's taxonomy places the organism in Eukaryota, Metazoa, Arthropoda, Insecta, Diptera, Tephritidae. The record is from RefSeq and is a predicted model, not a curated record.